This 460-nucleotide ribosomal RNA is filed under the name uncultured bacterium. Its description in RNAcentral is "partial 16S ribosomal RNA". It matches the Rfam family "Bacterial small subunit ribosomal RNA", at positions 338 to 795 of the family's 1533-position model. The record is from RNAcentral.
CCUACGGGAGGCAGCAGUGAGGAAUAUUGGUCAAUGGCCGGAAGUCUGAACCAGCCAUGCCGCGUGAAGGUCAGUGCCCUAUGGGCGUUAAACUUCUUUUGUGCGGGAGCAAUAAUGGUCACGUGUGGCCAGACGAGAGUACCGUACGAAUAAGCAUCGGCUAACUCCGUGCCAGGAGCCGCGGUAAUACGGGGGGUGUAAGCGUUACCCGGAUUUCUUGGGAUUAAAGGGGUCGUAGGCUGUGACGUCAGUCAGUGGUGGAAUGCCCGCGCUAAACGGGGUGAAGUGCCAUUGAUACUGUCUUGCGUGAAUGCGGAUGCCGUGGGAGGAAUGUGUGGUGUAGCGGUGAAAUGCAUAGAGAUCACACAGAACACCGAGUGCGAAGGCAUCUCACGAAUCCGCGAUUGACGCUGAUGCACGAAAGCGUGGGUAUCAAACAGGAUUAGAUACCCUAGUAGUC